GAUGAACGCUAGCGGCAGGCCUAACACAUGCAAGUCGAGGGGCAGCACAUAAAGUGGUUUACUACUUUUGGUGGCGACCGGCGGACGGGUGCGUAACGCGUAUGCAACCUGCCUCCAACAGGGGGAUAACGGAGAGAAAUUUCCACUAAUACCCCAUAAUAUCAGAAUCGGCAUCGGUUUUGGUUGAAAACUCCGGUGGGUGGAGAUUGGCAUGCGUUGUAUUAGGUAGUUGGUGAGGUAACGGCUCACCAAGUCAACGAGACAUAGGGGGACUGAGAGGUUAGCCCCCCACACUGGUACUGAGACACGGACCAGACUCCCACGGGAGGCAGCAGUGAGGAAUAUUGGUCAAUGGGGGCAACCCUGAACCAGCCAUGCCGCGUGCAGGAAGACGGCUCUAUGAGUUGUAAACUGCUUUUACAAGGGGAUAAAUCGGUGUACGUGUACACCGUUGAAGGUACCUUGGGAAUAAGGAUCGGCUAACUCCGUGCCAGCCGCCGCAGUAA
This 506-nucleotide ribosomal RNA is filed under the name uncultured bacterium. RNAcentral's name for it is "partial 16S ribosomal RNA". It matches the Rfam family "Bacterial small subunit ribosomal RNA", at positions 28 to 523 of the family's 1533-position model. The record is from RNAcentral.